Molecule: small nuclear RNA, 107 nt
Filed under: Sciurus vulgaris (Eurasian red squirrel)
Lineage: Eukaryota; Metazoa; Chordata; Mammalia; Rodentia; Sciuridae
Source: RNAcentral
GUGUUCAAUUUGGCAGCAGGUAUCCUGCUAUUGGAAGGGUGCAGAGGAGAUUAGCAUGGCCCCUGCACAUGGAUGACAUGCAAAUUUAUAAAGCACACCACAAUGAG